This 3892-nucleotide unclassified non-coding RNA is filed under the name Leishmania donovani. Its description in RNAcentral is "gene:LdHU3.25.2520(CDS-product:kinesin_putative)". The record is from RNAcentral. Lineage: Eukaryota; Euglenozoa; Kinetoplastea; Trypanosomatida; Trypanosomatidae.
AGGGGAGAGGUGCCGUACUGGCCAUAUCAGCACCCGCGCCCCCUCUCCCUCCCAUCGCCCUCCCCUUUUUCGCUCUGCGCGUGCGUGUUUGUGUAGGGUGGGCGGAUUGGUGGAGAGUUGGGUCAGUGGGUGGGUGUGUACAUCGCUUCCACAUACGUCCACAUUGUUCUUGUUUCAUCCUUGAUUCUUGCCUGCCGCUAUACUGAGUUGUGGCCCCUCCCACCCCCCUCCCUCCCUCUCUCCCGCCCAUCAUGCACUCGCAAAGACCAUGUGCCGGCUGCAACGCCCGCUGCCAGCACGACCGAAGCGCGUUGCCGUCCCUGAUGAGUCAGCAGGACGAAAGUUUCACCGGCAGCAGCCCGCGCACGGCCUCAGUACACAGUGAGGCGCGGCCACAUUUCAAGGGGCGCUUCCCCUUCGCCACGGCGGCAUCCUCGCUGUCAGAGCACUUCGACGGCGCCAACCUCUACUCCGGCGCCGGUGCUACCAACACGCGCGACAACUUUAGGGUGGCGGUGCGCGUGCGCCCACCUCUGCACCGCGAGCUGCACGGCUACCGACCCUUCGUCGACGUGGUUCAGAUAGCACCAGAGCACCCCAACUCCAUCACCCUCUGCGAUGCUCUGGACACGGAGGACGGUCGGGGGGCGGUGUACUCGCGCCAGAGCUACACGUUCGACCGCGUCUACGCGGCCGACGCAACGCAGGAAGACGUAUACGAGCUGAGCGCGCGGCCAGCAGUCCUAUCGGUGCUAGAGGGCUACAACGCCACGCUCAUGGCGUACGGGCAGACGGGCACAGGCAAGACGUACACAAUGGAGGGCUUCACCAACGAGGAGGAGCGCGGCAUUAUUCCUCGCGCCGUCGAAGAUGUCUUUGUGCACAUAAGGGAGAGGCGCCGCACCAGCGAGGACACAAAAUUCCUCGUGCGGGCCUCCUACAUGCAAAUCUACAACGAGGUCAUCUCGGACCUGUUGGAGCCGCCGGCCACGGCGUUCGCUGCCGGCAGCGGCAGCGGCGGCGCCAGUCGCAGCAGCAGCCUCACCGUGCGCCACACACCCCAGCGCGGCGUCUACGUCGAUGGCUUGUCGGAGUGGAUCGUGCGCACCCCAGAGGACGUGUACGGGCUCAUCGCGAAGGGCACGGCGCUGCGGGCGACCAGUGCCACGAAGCUGAGCGAGUUGUCCUCCCGCUCGCACGCCAUCUUCACAAUUGUCGUGGAGGCGAUGGAGGGCGACGAGGCGAAUCCGCUCUCCUACCGCUUUGGCAAGCUGAACAUUGUCGACCUGGCCGGCAGCGAGAAAAUCCGCCUGGCCGGGGUCACGGGGCAGAGACUGGAGGAGACCAAGAACAUAAACAAGUCGCUGCACGAGCUUGGCAACGUCAUUUCUGCCUUGGCCGCCAAGCCUGGCGCACACGGCCGUCGAGUGCAGCGGCACAUCCCGUUCCGCAACUCCGCCCUCACGAGCGCGCUGCGAGACUCACUUGGCGGCAACUGCAAGACGACGCUGAUCGCGUGCAUUUCACCGGCGUUGGAGUCGUACGCGGAGUCUCUCUCCACGCUCAUGUUCGCCAAUCGCGCCAAGAACAUUCAGAACCACGCCGUGGUGAACGAGGGCAUGAGCCAGGCAACGCUGCUCAGGGCGUACGAGCAGGAACUGCAGCGACUGCGGCAGCAGCUGCAGGAACGCACGGAGAUGGAUAGCGGUGACGGCAAUGGGCUCAUGAGCUCGACUGACACCCAUUUGCUGCUUUCCGAAUUGGAGGAGGACCGACGGCGUGCGGAGGCGGACCGGCAGGCGGCUCUUGCGGCGCUUGAGAAAUCUUCGGUGGCACAUCAGGAAGAGAUGCGUGCGCGCCAGGAGCUGGAGAGUCGCAUACGCGAGCUAGAGGCCAUCAUGCGGGAGGGUGGCAUGGAGGGCAACCCGCGCACCAGUCAGGAGUACGCGGAGCGGCUUCUCGAGCUGGACAGGGAGCGUCAGGCCGUGGAGGAGGACAAGGAGCAGGUGGAACGCUACAAGCACCUGCUGCUGAAGCAGCGCGACAUCAUGCUGAGCCUCACCACCCGACUGAACGACCGCGACGAGACGAUCCUGCUUCUCCAAGAGGAAGUCGACGCCUACGACCAGCACGUGCAGACGCUGGAGGAGGAGCUGGAGCUGUUGGCACGGCAAGGCAACGCAGAGCGGCGGGCCACCUCACCGCCGCCGUCCUCGACCGCGAUGAUGGUUGUGAACCCGCAGCUCGUCGGGAACGCGAGUGAGGCGCAGGCAGCAGAGUACAUCUACCAAAGGCGCGUGCAGUCCCCGUCGUCGGAGGCUGGCGCGCGGGCCGGUACGCCACAGAGAUACCGAUCCUUCCUUCAACCGAGCCGCACUGUUACCGCGGAGGAGCUCGCCGUGGAGCUGGUCAUGCUACAAGGCCGCAAAGACGCCGUCGCGGUGGCUGCUUCGGGCAAAGACAGGAGCGGAUCAACCGAUGGCAGCCUCUUCAACGACGCGGAGCUGACUCUUAUCCUGCAGCAGCGCGCCGACUCGAUUUUGCACGCGCAUUACAACGCGCAAGUGGCGCAGCUGCGCUCCACCGUGGCGGCGCUGACCCUUCAACUGCGCAACAGCGAGGACAGGGCGCACAUCGCCGACAAAGAGGCGCGCCUGCUGGCGCAUCGACUAAGCAGUGGACAGGAUGGCGCCACCAUGGAUGCGCUGCAGCGAGAACUGCGAGCGGAGUGGGACUCGCGCCGCAAAGCCUACGUCAGCACGAUGAACGAGGUGCGAGACGCCGUUCGUGCCGACACGGCAGAGAGGGCGCGGCUUGGGCGCGAGAUCGACCGCGUCCGCGUGGAAGUGCAGCACAUGCUUGAGACAGCGUCCUCGUCGGCUACCGCGUCACCUGACACAAGUCGGCGGUCUGCUGUUAGCCGCGUGUGGCAGCGGCUGCAGGAGGUGGAGGAGGAAGUGCGCCUUCGCGGGAUAUUGGCGCAACUGCCAGAUGUGCUCCUUGACGCUGAGGCUGUACCCCCAUGCAAUAGCAGUGCCACGAGCACAGCGGAUGGGGAGCGCAAGUUGCGCGAUGCACAGGCGCGGGAGACGGCGCUGCAGAAAAGGAUCGAAGAGCAGCAGUGCCGCAUCGCAUGGCUGGAGCGGGAGAUGAAGGGUCGCGCAAACGGCCGCGAAUCAUCAGAAGCGUCCGCCGACGACACAGCGGAGGUGGCAGCGCUGAGGAGGAAGCUGAUGAUGCACGAGAAGGAUCGGCAUGCCAUCCGCACCAUCCUGGAGCACCGGAUGAAGAGCAAGAUUAAUCGCAUCUGUGAGCUGCUACAGCUCACCCACGCCGACGCUGCCGACGGCAAAGAUGGGGCCAGCAAGCUGAGCAGCGAGGCGCUCAGUCUGCAGGGACUCAUUCACGCCGCUAUCAAGGCGAUGGAUGCAGAGGUUUAGCGCACUCGCACCCUCUCUCUCUCACUCGGUGACUGUAGCCGGUCUCCCUCGUGUGUGUCUGAAGCGAUGCGGUGAUGAGGGGCAUUGAAGGGCCCUUUCCCCCCCCCUCUGGGUGUUGGUGUGCGUGUUGCCUCACGGUGGCCUUUAUCUUCGUGUGCUUCCUCCCCCCCCCUGCUCACGAUGCCGCAUUCAAACGGCGCGACGCCAGGAGCCGACAUCUACAUAUAUAGAUAUGUGUGUUUGUGUAUGCGUGCGUGUGUCUCAGCCAGUGGGAGACGCAAAGGUGUCAGCACCGAUGCAAGCCUGGGCAAAGCCGGGAAAGAGGCGCCUCCUCCCCGCCCACCGCCGUCUCGGACUUUGUGGUGGCGGGCGCUACGCCCUUGCUCUCGCUGCCGCAGCUGCUUUUCAUGCCCCCCCCCUCCUCCUUUCCUCCCUCGACUCUCCCAUCACAG